Branchiostoma floridae (Florida lancelet) is the source of this 2303-nucleotide long non-coding RNA. RefSeq lists it as uncharacterized. NCBI's taxonomy places the organism in Eukaryota, Metazoa, Chordata, Leptocardii, Amphioxiformes, Branchiostomatidae. The record is from RefSeq and is a predicted model, not a curated record. The transcript is spliced from 2 exons.
CCCUGUAUAACGUUAUUUGGUCUGAGCCAACAUGGCAAGGUUAGAAGUAAAUGCAGAUGGAGGCUGACCAGAGCCCCCUGUGCUGCUACAAAUGUUGCGUCAAAUGGACACAGUUCCCCGUCACCUCUCAUCAGUGGAGCCGGUUUGGGCCCAACACCCCCGAAGACUGACUCCUGAGCACUACAUGCACAAUUUUCUGGCACCUUGUCAGGGAAGAAGAGAUGCCCUGCACCGGACGGGUCGCUAGUUUUGUAGUCAUAUUCUCAUCCGUUAAUUACGUCGGCUUGACCAGUGUCAGACGUGACCAGUGUCUGUAUUGUUUAUGGUAGUAUCGGAAAUAAGUCCUAAUAUCGUAGUUGUUAAUGUUUUAGUCGGAGGAUAGCACAGUUGCAGUACUAGUACGUGGUGUCUGUUGGAGUUUUUCCUGUGUGACGAUCUGGGCGCCACAUGUGGUGAAAGCCGCUCGUCCAAUAUCGGGCCCUAAACAGCUACACGGUCUAAACAAACUCCCGAUGUGCGCGGCUCGUCAGAAGGUGGCCGUGUAAGCACCUCGUUAGGGCGCGGAUAAGUGGUUUAGCCAGGGGCCCCGCCCUUCCCGCGCCGACGGGUGCGAGCGUUCACCCUCCCGGGGAUGGGCGCCAGCAGUCGGACAGACCUGUACUGCUCCGUCCCUGUGUGUAGUUUGUCUCUACCAGACUCCAUAGGUCGCUGGCUGUACUACUCCGUCCCUGUGUGGAGUUAGUCUCUUCCAGACUCCACAGGUCGCUGGAAAAACCGUAGAAAUGGAACUAAGCAGGCCAGAAAAGUACAGCCGACUAGGGAACAGCGCGCGGCCGUACUUCUCUUGUCGGCCAACUUUUCAAUUUGUUCCAUUUCUACGGUUUUUCCAGCGACCUAUGGAGUCUGGUAGAGACUAGAAUAUAGUACGGCCCGACCAAAGAUGAGUCACCUGUGACACAAUGAUGGCACGAACAUUGCACAAGCACCUGUCACAGCACACUGACUCACAGACGAUAUUGUCACUUUCGUCGAACUGGCGUCCUAGUCUCCCGUGUACUUAUAUGCUCGGCACUUUUGAAACGUCUGGCCUUCUUUUUUAUCCAUGACAUUUGGUACAAGUAAACUACUGGCCUUGCUUGGAAAAACGCCACGGGGGUACGCAGCGGAGGGAUGCUUCAAGUCGGCCUGACGGGGUCCUGUAGUCAAUCUGUGCCGCGAACACUGGUCUAUGACCUGCACUUUUUUCUAGCCUGGUAGAUACGGACGGACGGUGUAUUUCAGAGCGCCAUUUUCCACAUGAGAGUUUUAGCUUCAAACGGAAAGUGAAGGUUUUGCUAUUGUCGGCAAUACGUAAUAUUAAUUUUGAACGUUUACAGUUUUCAGAUUUCGUCAAUCUUAUUGUUCUGAACUUCACUAUUGGGUAGGCUUGCACAAGAGAAUCAAUGCAUUGCGGUCGGGACUACCUACUCAUCAACCGUCCUGUUCAUGUCAUUCCGCAUCUGGAGUGACGUAACGAGGAGACCAUGUUCUUAGAUCUUCAGCCGAGUCAAAAUCGUCUGAACUUUACUGUAAAGGACAGAUCUGAUGGAAAAUAUGGCCAUGUGGAGGGAUGAAACGGAGAACGACGCAAACGAGCAAAAUUCCGGUCGCGCUGGACUGACCAGCGCGGCAACUUUGUUGGUGUCGAAACUCCUUUGAUUUCCGACCCGUGUUAUUUGAUUUCUGGUGAACUGUUUGAGAUGUGAUGGCUGCCGUUAGCCUUUGACAGCUGAGUUCCAAGUGAUCCGUCGCUUUGAAGCGGUGUGUGUGAAGAAGGAAUGGUGGAUCUAACGUGGUUCUCCGCGCUCGGAACUUUGAUUCCUCGACCAUGAUAUUGAAUUUAUUCGUCUUUUAAACAGAACUCUACCGUAGCUAAGGGGCUUACUUCGUUACGUUUUCACUUUGGCUUCAUAUGUCGUGUCUCAGGACGUCAUGUUGUACGUUCCAAGACAUGGUUCUGUUUUUUUGUGUGUGAAGAAUAUACGAAAUGGCAUUAACACAUUAACAGUGUUUGUGACAAGAAGUCAACUGUGCUUGGAAACUUAGUCUUGUGAUGCUUGACAAAACAGGAUCAUUAUAACACACUGUACUGGUGUGGUUGGUUCGGUUUGGUCGAACAACACAUUUGACCGUCAAGGGCAUUGCACCCUUUCUAACAAUGCAACUCCAUCUUACUGUCGCAGUGAAGUUCUGUUUGACUUGGCAGAGAUAGCGCUCACAUGACGUGAGGUGAGCGGGGAACGCGUCAGCCGUGUCACCAUGGA